This 634-nucleotide long non-coding RNA is filed under the name Monodelphis domestica (gray short-tailed opossum). RNAcentral describes it as "lncRNA (ENSMODG00000049343.1)". Lineage: Eukaryota; Metazoa; Chordata; Mammalia; Didelphimorphia; Didelphidae. The record is from RNAcentral.
CAAAAAUAGAUAACUAUAAUAUGUAACAUUUCAUCAUAAGUGCAUUAGAAAUACCAAAAUGAGUAAUAAGGGAAGAUUAUUAACUAUCAGUGACAUCAAAAAAGAUUUCUUCAAGGACAUGAAUUGUAUCAAAAAGGGGAGUUUUGGGUAGCUGAAAGAGGAAGGGAAGACAUUCUAUGAGCAGGCAGAGAACAUGGUGUUAGCAAAGGCUGAGAAGAAGCAGAGUAUAGGGUGCAUUCAGGGUCUGGAUUCACAGAAGGAUGAUCAAAACUCAGAGGUUCUCUCAGACCAACCUCUCUGGAGGAAUCCCCAAAGAGAAAUCUCCUCAUCAGUGCCUGGCCCUACCACCAUCCAACUCAGCUGUCAACAGUCCCCACUCUGGCCAUUUCCAGCUUUUCCAAUGUGUAGAGUAUUAUAUUCUAGCCAGGGGAGACAUGUACAUAUACAGAGAGAAAAUGUAUUUCCAAUAGCAACAGCAACAAGGUCAGGUCAGUUCUCCAAGAUAAUGAGACAAGACAAAUUUUGCAGAUAUGAGAUGUACAAAAAUCAAGCAACAGGCCUUGGAGGAAUGACACACCUAUUGAGACUGUUGGAAAGAUCUGAAGGAAGGAAAAAUUCUAAAGAAAUUCCUUGA